CCUGCUAGACCUUUAUCCUUGUCCAAUUUGUCAGCUUUCUCUGUUUGAUUUCCCACCUACCCUGUUAGAUUUUGAGCAUUCACUCCGUUGUCCUUUGGUCUCUGGUUUGACCUUAGGUUCUCUUUUCCUUUGCCUUUUGAGGCCAUCCUACAAACACCAGGAGGUCUCCUUGGUGCCUACAUAAUGAGCAGGAAACCUAGACUCUUUUGUAUAUAUUGUCUGCUAGAAUCAAGGAGGAUACUGGACUCAACCACAACCUGGACUGUCUCACACACGUAUAGAGCGGCUAAUGGUGCAGCACAUCAUCUUGCAAAGGCUGGCCUCGAAUGCUCAGAGCACAUCUAUAACAUUGAAGAAGUUCCUAGAUGUAUUGAGUCCAUUGUGUCUAGAGAAAUGUUGUAGAGUUAUGUGAAAUCUGUCAAGCAGUGGUGUUUGAUUGCUCUGAUGUAAAAUUUUAUGAAUGAAAUUUACAUCCUUUUCAAAAAAAAAACUGCUACUUUUGAUGUAUUCACCACCAAUGUCUUUAAACUCUAUGCUAGGGAUGGAUCUAGAAAUCGUCUGUCUAGAGAGAAAAAACUCACGUAUAAUGGUGAUGAAUUUAUUUUGGUAUUUUCCAUUUAACUUGAGUGAUUAGCCUGUGAGACCAAAAGAAAAACCAAGAUUUGAAGAUUGUUAAGAGUUUUGCUCAAUGUUUUUAAAUAUUAAUUUUGUCCUGCACAUUGAUCCAACAUGAAUUAGAUGAUACCUUUUGAUCCUGGUUCGGUUUUUUACUUGGUUAGAGACUUUGACAUACCCUCACUCACGCCUCUCCCCAUUCCAAGUGUGCAAUAGGAUCAAGAGAAUGGUACAUCUGAAGUAGUCCUGAGAACAGCAUCCAAAAAAACAAGGCCACGUAGCACGCUCAUUACAGAAGGAAUGAUCAUCCACUGCACCCAAGCUCUCUCUCUUCGAAAAUGUCCAGUCAAGAAGCUCAUCUCUUCUCUGUUGUCUCUCUCCAAAUCACACCGAAGAACGCGUCUCUUCUCGCUCAUCAAAUACCCAUCGCAAAUCCUCCAACUCGCCUGUCUCAGAAAUCCUCUUGCUCGUCUCUCUCUCUCAUCGAUGCUAGCCAGCCCAAGAGUGGGCACCGAAGCUCGUCUCUCUCUCUCUCAUCGAAAACGUAUGUUUCAAAAGCUCAACUCUCCCUCUUUCUUGUCUGUCUCUCCCAAUCACACCGAAGAACUCGCCUCAUCUCUCUCAUCAAAUACCCAUAGACGCCAGCCACCCCAAGAGUGGUGUGGAAAGAUGUUGAUGGUGUUUUAACAUGUGAUCCUAACAUACUCACAAGCAGAACCCGUGCCAUAUUUGACAUUUGAAGAGGCUGCUGAACUUGCAUAUUUUGCCAACCAGGAAUCAUGAUCUUAUACCUUAUUACCCAGUCAAGUUGUGGAGUACAGCUUCGACGAAGGAACGACAGGAUACAUGAUGAACAUGUCAAGAAAGAACAAGCCAAAUUACAAUUACAAGCCAUAGAGAAGAAGUACAAGGGAACCAUGAUAGCAUUGUUCUUGUCGUUGUUUUUUAUUGUGAUUGUAAGUUUUAUGUAUCUGAGGAAAAAUGGCAUAUGUCAGUCAUUGUUAAGACUCAUGUAAUCAUUAAGUCAUUUGUUGUAAUGUUUAGAGCACUUUUUGCAAGUUUUAUGUAAACUUUGGGGUGGCAACAAUCUAAUUUAUACAAUCCGACUUUUUUGUAUCUUUGGUAUCUCGUGUAAACUUUUGAGCAAACAUCUUUCAUAGGUGAAGGAGACCUUAAUGCAAGUUGUGGCUUCGUCUUCA
Molecule: long non-coding RNA, 1814 nt
Organism: Carya illinoinensis
Lineage: Eukaryota; Viridiplantae; Streptophyta; Magnoliopsida; Fagales; Juglandaceae
Exons: 2
Source: RefSeq, a predicted model, not a curated record